This 213-nucleotide ribosomal RNA is filed under the name Clostridioides difficile. Its description in RNAcentral is "partial 23S ribosomal RNA". It matches the Rfam family "Bacterial large subunit ribosomal RNA", at positions 1769 to 1981 of the family's 2925-position model. Lineage: Bacteria; Bacillati; Bacillota; Clostridia; Peptostreptococcales; Peptostreptococcaceae. The record is from RNAcentral.
UCAGGUGGCCGCAGAGAAUAGGCCCAAGCGACUGUUUACCAAAAACAUAGGUUUCUGCUAAGUCGCAAGACGAUGUAUAGGAGCUGACGCCUGCCCGGUGCUGGAAGGUUAAGGGGAUCUGUUAGAGCAAUCGAAGCAGUGAACUUAAGCCCCAGUAAACGGCGGCCGUAACUAUACCGGUCCUAAGGUAGCGAAAUUCCUUGUCGGGUAAGU